Molecule: ribosomal RNA, 687 nt
Filed under: uncultured bacterium
Lineage: Bacteria
Description: bacterial SSU rRNA
Rfam family: Bacterial small subunit ribosomal RNA
Source: RNAcentral
GUGAUUGAGUAGAGUGGCCCUCGGGUGAGUGACACGUGGAUAAUCUACCUUCGAGACGGGGACAACCAUUCGAAAGGAUGGCUAAUACCGGAUAAAGUAUAUGGUUAUUAAGAUCAUGUAUGAAAGACAGCCUCUGCAUAUGCUGUUGCUUGGAGAUGAGUCCGCGGACCAUUAGCUAGUUGGUGGGGUAAAGGCCUACCAAGGCUCCGAUGGUUAGCUGGUCUGAGAGGAUGAUCAGCCACACUGGAACUGGAACACGGUCCAGACUCCUACGGGAGGCAGCAGUGAGGGAUUUUGCGCAAUGGGGGAAACCCUGACGCAGCAACGCCGCGUGAGUGAAGAAGGUCUUUGGGUCGUAAAGCUCUGUCAACAGGGAAGAAGUUAACAUAUAUAAAUAGUGUAUGUUAUUGACGGUACCUGUGAAGGAAGCACCGGCUAACUCCGUGCCAGCAGCCGCGGUAACACGGGGGGUGCAAGCGUUAUUCGGAAUUAUUGGGCGUAAAGGGCGCGUAGGCGGUCUUAUCAGUCAGAUGUGAAAGCCCGGGGCUCAACCCCGGAAGUGCAUUUGAAACAGUAAGACUUGAGUACGGGAGAGGAAAGCGGAAUUCCUGGUGUAGAGGUGAAAUUCGUAGAUAUCAGGAGGAACACCGAUGGCGAAGGCAGCUUUCUGGACCGAUACUGACGCUG